UGCUGCUUUAGCUGAGUUGAUUACGGAAGAGACCCGGUUAGACUCGCAGGUGCCUGCAUCCUUAGGCAGUAU
Molecule: transfer RNA, 72 nt
Filed under: Neolamarckia cadamba
Lineage: Eukaryota; Viridiplantae; Streptophyta; Magnoliopsida; Gentianales; Rubiaceae
Description: tRNA-Thr
Source: RNAcentral